Molecule: small nucleolar RNA, 103 nt
Organism: Cynocephalus volans (Philippine flying lemur)
Lineage: Eukaryota; Metazoa; Chordata; Mammalia; Dermoptera; Cynocephalidae
Product: small nucleolar RNA U13
Exons: 1
Source: RefSeq, a predicted model, not a curated record
AUCUUUGUGGUUCCUAAGUGUGAUGACUUGGUUUUUAAGCUAUUGUGUGAGACGUGCCUCCCUCAAACCUUGUAUAAUAUAUCAGCAUAUUACCUGGCUGAAG